Molecule: transfer RNA, 75 nt
Filed under: compost metagenome
Description: tRNA-Val
Rfam family: tRNA
About the family: Transfer RNA (tRNA) molecules are approximately 80 nucleotides in length.
Source: RNAcentral
AGUUGAGUAGCUCAGCGGGAGAGCGUUCCAUUAACACUGGAGAUGUCGUGAGUUCAAUCCUCACCUCGACUACCA